GGAUAUUUUUGUCUCCGAGUUACUGCUUCCUAAAGCCGGAAUCGAGGCCAUGGACAGUGACCGCUAGGCCUGGAAGGAAACUUCCUGACCCCCCGUGUUUGGAAAGGAGACGGCAGCAAGAGGGU
This 125-nucleotide non-coding RNA is filed under the name Deltaproteobacteria bacterium. Its description in RNAcentral is "MoCo sequence". It matches the Rfam family "Molybdenum/Tungsten riboswitch aptamer (Moco RNA motif)". Lineage: Bacteria; Pseudomonadati; Myxococcota; Myxococcia. The record is from RNAcentral.